This 425-nucleotide ribosomal RNA is filed under the name uncultured bacterium. RNAcentral's name for it is "partial 16S ribosomal RNA". It matches the Rfam family "Bacterial small subunit ribosomal RNA", at positions 354 to 796 of the family's 1533-position model. The record is from RNAcentral.
GUGGGGAAUAUUGGGCAAUGGGCGAAAGCCUGACCCAGUAACGCCGCGUGAAGGAAGAAGGUCUUCGGAUCGUAAACUUCUAUCCUUGGUGAAGAUAAUGACGGUAGCCGAGAAGGAAGCCCCGGCUAACUACGUGCCAGCAGCCGCGGUAAUACGUAGGGGGCAAGCGUUGUCCGGAAUGAUUGGGCGUAAAGGGCGCGUAGGCGGCCUGGUAAGUCUGGAGUGGAAGUCCUGCUUUUAAGGUGGGAAUUGCUUUGGAUACUGUCGGGCUUGAGUGCAGGAGAGGUAAGUGGAAUUCCCGGUGUAGCGGUGAAAUGCGUAGAGAUCGGGAGGAACACCAGUGGCGAAGGCGACUUACUGGACUGUAACUGACGCUGAGGCGCGAAAGUGUGGGGAGCAAACAGGAUUAGAAACCCCUGUAGUCC